This is a long non-coding RNA of Anguilla anguilla (European eel), 282 nucleotides long. RefSeq lists it as uncharacterized. NCBI's taxonomy places the organism in Eukaryota, Metazoa, Chordata, Actinopteri, Anguilliformes, Anguillidae. The transcript has 3 exons. The record is from RefSeq and is a predicted model, not a curated record.
UCUGGAAACAGCAGAGCUGUAUGGAGACUUGCUGGGCGCAGCAAAGCUGGCUUUAGGCUGGUUUAUCCCAGGUAAGACCCAUGAUGAGCAUCAGAAGACAGCACUGACUGAGCAGCACAAAGGGACUGAUGGGAGUGCUGGAAUUCCACAGGAGGACAGUCAGACAGAAUCACUAAAUCGGGGUGAACAUUCUGAAGAAAGUGGAGUGGAGACUGAGGGGGGGGCAGCCCACAAAACACCUAAUGAGUGUGCUGGAAUUCCACAGGAGAGUCAGAAAAGUAA